Oncorhynchus masou masou (cherry salmon) is the source of this 1241-nucleotide long non-coding RNA. RefSeq lists it as uncharacterized. The record is from RefSeq and is a predicted model, not a curated record. Lineage: Eukaryota; Metazoa; Chordata; Actinopteri; Salmoniformes; Salmonidae. The transcript is spliced from 5 exons.
ACCGCACCUGAUCCUAUGCCCAUUUGGGGUGGCGCUGGACGGGUCCCAUCGAUAUCGUUCGUUCUUCUAAAUAGUGCGCAUUUUAGGGGUUUCUGGACUUUUCUUUUUUUGAUAUAGUUUUGAGCGUGGACAUGGCACAUUUUAAACAGGGCUAAUGAGAGCAGGGAUGUAGUUAUCUUACGAGCUAGGUGUUUAGUUAGCUAACUAGUGGUUUCUAGUUUAGCCACAUGGUGUACAUGUCCAGAACUGUCAUGCGACGUGGUUGUUGGGCAAAUGCGUUGCGAUAUCUUUCGGGCAUGGAUUACACAUUUCUACAAAGGUUUUAUCCGGUUUAUUUUAACGCUGGGCAACCCAGUUUAACUUUGAUUUAACGUCGCAGACUGGGGUUUGUAGAAGUCAAGUGUUGGAAGUAAAACGUUGCUCUUCAUGAGGUGUUUAUGUUUAGCACGGUGGUAGUCAAAGACGUGGAAGUAUGAAUCUCAUCACCCAAGUGACGGGAGAGCCAUGUGUGCCAGUGGAUCCUAUAGCACUCCUUCGACACCAAAAAGAGACCGAAGACCGUUGUCGUCACACACUGUUUCAUAAGACAAAUCCUCUGACCAUGCCGAGUGGAGAGAGUCAUCCUGUCCAAAUGACCCGAGAGACGUCCAUGCCUUUUUCCAGCACCUCGUCACCACACAGGUGGUAGGGAGAAAGGCUGCGUCAGAGGCCCACCUUUUGGCCCUGCUCAGCCCCAGAGACCGCCUUGGGACACCUGCUUGUCUAACUCACUCCGACUGCACCACACCCAGAAUAGACUAGCCAUGUCUGCUGCUGGUGGAGACAAACAGGUCGAUACAUCUAUCAGGCAGUUUCACCAAUCAGACGCGGACAGAGCGCCUCUAUCUCCGGUUGGUCGACGGAGACCGUUUGGCCACAAACGGCUACGACACCAAGUGGGACGCGCCGUUUGACCCGGGGACAGCGAGGGUUACCACAGAAACAGACCAGGAUCUCAUAGCCCACUACACUUCAUAGGAGUUCAGUGGUCGCAGCCCACUACCCUACUGGGGAAGUUUGGUAGUUGUCUGUCCCAGCCCACUACACUUCAUAGGAGUUCAGUGGUCGCAGCCCACUACCCUACUGGGGGAGUUUGGUAGUUGUCUGUCCCAGCCCACUACACUUCAUAGGAGUUCAGUGGUCGCAGCCCACUACCCUACUGGGGAAGUUUGGUAGUUGUCUGUCCCAGCCCACUAUACAUC